CGGGGACUAAUUGUAUCAACGGUAAGACUGAUGGCAGCAGCAAAGUGGAGAUUGUGGAGUACAACACCGCAGCUUUAAGUACGGGGACUAAUUCUAUCAACGGGAAGACUGAGGGCAGCAGCAGAGUCGAGACUUAGGAGUACAACACUGCAGCUUCAAGUACGGGGACUAAUUGUAUCAACGGUAAGACUGAGGGCAGCAGCAAAGUGGAGAUUGUGGAGUACAACACCGCAGCUUUAAGUACGGGGACUAAUUCUAUCAACGGGAAGACUGAGGGCAGCAGCAGAGUCGAGACUUAGGAGUACAACACUGCAGCUUCAAGGUAGGAAAAG
This is a long non-coding RNA of Entelurus aequoreus (snake pipefish), 332 nucleotides long. RefSeq lists it as uncharacterized. The record is from RefSeq and is a predicted model, not a curated record. NCBI's taxonomy places the organism in Eukaryota, Metazoa, Chordata, Actinopteri, Syngnathiformes, Syngnathidae. The transcript is spliced from 4 exons.